AGAGUCAUGGGCUCGGUAUCAUAGGCCUUAUCGAUUAAAAGAAAUGAAUAAAUGGGUUUCAACCCGUGAACCGGGUCUUCCAAGUGAGCCCGUAUGAUACGGGGUCAUGCCACGCGGCGCAGAGGGAGUGGCUACGCGAUCGCGCGGGUUGACUGCGAAAAAAUGGGUUUCGCGUGAAAGAUCCCAUUUUCCCUUCUCUCUUCGAAAUCUAGGGUUUCUCCGUCUGUGAGGCGAUUUCGUGUCGGGGUCCAGAGCCGGAGAUUUUCUCGAUCAAUUCGUCGUCGGAGUCACUCGUAAACGCUCUCAGGUGAGUCUCAAUCACUCCGAGGACGAGAUAGCUUCGAUUUGAUCUCGAGAGGUUUCUAGGUUAAGGAAGUCGAUUUGGGGGUUUCGUCUUAGGGUGGGAAAUCGAGAAGGGGGUUUCGAUUUCUUGGUCAAAAUCGACAUACGGUUUCUUUUUAGGGUUCGUUUAUCAUGGAUUUCAUUUCGAUUUGGGGGUUUCGUGUAAGGGUUCGAAAUGUAAAAGGGGGUUUUAAUUUAGGACAUGAAUAUAACCGGACUUGGCUCUUUUAGAAUUGUUCUGUGGUCUUGUGUGGUCUAUAGUAGUUUGAUGCGAUUUUUUUAAAUUGGAACUCGAUUAAUACAUGUAAUUGGAACUCGAUUGUUGCAGAUGGAAACUCCCCGAGAACCUCAUUUCUUCAAGCCUCUUCUUCCUGGUUUUCAAAGUGGCGUCGCAAUACCACUUGACUUCUACUCAAAACACAUACAAGGGGCUGAGAUCAAUAAACCAUGGAAGCUAAGAUCGGACGCUUCGGAUCAAAUUUGGGAGGUGAUCCGAGAAGGCAGGACACUCACCAAAGGUUGGAAAGAGUUCACCGAAGCACAUGAUCUUCGAAUCGGUGACAUUGUCAUCUUCAAACACGAAGGAGACAUGGUCUUUCAUGUGACUCCUUUUGGUCCUAGCUGUUGUGAGAUUCUGUGGUCCGACGCGGAUGAUGCUCCUACUUUCUCAUACGACUACUGCUUCUUGGCUGAGGUUACUCCUACAAAUCAAAAGGACGACAAAAUGUUUCUUCCUGUGGAAGCUAUGAGGUGUGGUGCUUUGAACCAACAAUGCAAAGAGGUCAAACUUGUCAACAAGGAGGGAAAGUCAUGGACUGCGCGCUUCGGAUUUAGCGAAUCAGACGGCGCAUAUUACAUCAGCAGAGGGUGGAGAAAGUUUUGUCGUGAUAACAGAUGCACCAACGGAGAUUUGUUUGUGUUCAACGUGGUUGGAGACGGGACGACAACUCCAUUACUGUGUGUAUGUCCGGAAAGGAAGGAGUGUACUGAACUACUGAUCAAGCACUUCAGCAGAAUCGAUGGUAGCAUUGCUUCUACCUCACGAAAUUAGAUGGCUCUUUUGCGGUCUUUCCUCUCUAUCAUCUUAACUUGUUUCUUUUUGUUUCAUUAGCAACUUAUCAACUUAUGUAUUUCGGUUUGUAAAACUUGAAUGGUUUUUCUAUGUGAACUUUUAUCCUAAGUUAAACAUUCUCGAACUUAAUUCCUUUGUUGAAUGCGUAGACUGAUCAUCGAACAAAAUGUUUCUAUGAAUUGAAUUUAAGUUAAGAAACAACAUAAAAUUUUAAAACAUAGCUUUUAUACAUUUGAAAACACAAACCAAAACUUAAACUCCAAAACUAAAACAUAGGUUGAAUAAAAUGUUUUCAUAAAUUUUAUAAUAUAUUUUAAUAUUUUAUUCAUGUAUUCUGAAUAAUUUUAAAUUUAAAAAAAAAAUAAAAAAAAAUAUUAUUAUUUUAUUCCUAUGAACUCCUUCUUCGGAUUCACUGAUGCAGAAAACUACAAAUUCGGGUUCAUAACUGUUCAUGGACCCACAAAAAAAAUAUUAAAAAAAUUUGGUGAACCCCAAAGUGGGGUUCACCAAUGCUCAUGCUCUAACCAAACUAGAGUUUCAUUGUUCAACUACACACAAAAGACACACACACACACUAUCUCACACGUGUGUGUGAAUUUUACCCUAAUCCGCCAAAAACUCAAACAUCUUCACAUUAGUUCAAUUCUAGAUCCCCGACUCAUCUUUAUUUUCUCUCACACAAUUGUUCUUCCCUUUCAAUCAAAUCUACAACCACCUCAACCCUCUCUCCUAUAACUCCAAUAUAGUUUCCCAAAUCUUCAUAUCCUAAUCCCUUCCCUUCUUUUUUUUUGUUCAAAUAUUAUUUCCUUCUAAUCCAUCUUAUUUUGUUAGCUUUGUUAGAAAAAAAAAAAACUAAGAGAAGAAGACCAUCUCAAUCUAUCACCACCAACCAUCUCAUAUCACCAAAUUAAAGAAAUUUUCACCUCCGGUGAAACCCGCGGCGGAUGAAACAUGAAAUUAGUGGCGGAGAAGACACGAAAUCCACGGCGGAAGAGACAAUGUCUUAGAGCUGAUCUUGCCUCAAUUCGAAGUCGUCAAACAAAGUUGAUGGAAACCGUGAAAAGCUGGAUCCUUUAUCAUGAUUUUGUUUGUCUCUGCAAUGAUUUGUUCGGAUCUUGCUAGAAACUAACCCGAACCAUACGUAAGGAUCCGAAUGCUUAGGUUAAACGUGUACAAAACCUAAUCUUCAUAACUUGUGUCCACAUGAUAUAUGUCCACAAAUCUGAUAUCCAUAUCCUGUUCGUCGAUAAUUUUUCAUCCAUAUCCACAAUAUUAGUCAUAUGCACAUAAUUCACUCAGCUCAAGCACUAAAACUUUUAAGAAACAAACCAAAUGUCUACUCAUUUUAGUCUAAGACUCAAAUGUGUUACUCUUUUAUCGUCUAUGGUUUGUUUGUCUAUAUUUUCAAUUUUUUCUUGUUGACAUUUCUCUUGUCCACAUCUUUUGCGUCCAUAAGUUUAACUUACAAAUUAUGUUAAAUGUAUAAAAUAGAUGUUAAAAUAUAAAGAAAAAAUUGUAAUUGGUUGUACCGAAAAAAUAAGCUAGAUGUUUAUUAUAAAACCAAAAAUCAAUAAACAAAUACGUGGAUGAAAAAAGUUAUUUAAUAAUAUUAAAAAAUAUGACAUAUAUUCUUGACUACUUCUGUGGGGUCAAGAUAUCCAUGUAUCUAUCUAUAUAUAUAAAGGGGAGUUUUCUCUCACCUCCUGCUGCCACUUCAGCAUGGAAGGAAGGGCAAAUGAGGACACGUGUUAUCACUUUACUUCUUCUUCGAGCAAGUUAAAAGAAAUGUGGACAAAUUUGUUUAGUUAAGAUGCUGAGGCCUAAUUCCAAAAUUUGAUAAUCAAGCCCAAUUGUUCACAUCCAUCUUCUUCGAAAGUCUUCGUCUGUCUGUUCAUAUCCCUAUGUCCAGCCGGCAACAACCUUACCGAAUUAUAACGUUUUUUGUGUCAUUGAAACCUGCUCACGAAGUCUGGCCAUUACCUCUCUCCUUGAAGCGUUCUCCCGAAAUCCCUAAUUUUGACUGCUAUAAAUAGGGAUGCAGGUAGAUCGAACUUUCCCUGCUUCACGCAGCGAUCAAUGGCUUUCAGAACUACAAAAUCCUCCGGCCAAUGAAUUAACCAGGGUUUGCUGCUUCUAAUCGCGUAGACAGUUGGUGCAGAAAUCGAAGUUUUUGUAUACUUUGAAACAAGGAGUUAAAUCAGAUCUGGGGAUGAACCAUUAUCUGCAACUUUAUAAAAAGAUUUUGAAUUGUUUCUGGGUCUAUCUGUAUCAGGAAGUAUAUAGAAUCCGAUGGAGUUGUUGAUUCUCUCACCAGAGAUUUAAAAUGUUGCCUCUGUAAAAUUUUGGACUCAUACUCUAUGAUGCUUUGGUUUUUGCCAAUCCCAGCUCUUGAGUGGUUUUUCUAUGAUCCUUCUUUGGGUUUGCUUCAGACUAAUUCAGCAUAAGCUAGGAGGUGCUUCAGUCUCUGACUACGAGAAGCUUCAAGCUUAGACGUUUGAUCUUCAAAUAAAAUACAAUGAGCUUUUAGCUAAUCAUCAGGAAACCCUCAAAGAGUUUUUUCAUCAUCAAUCAGCAGAGGAUCGCUAGAGGCGAGGAGCUAAGUCCUCUCUCCCGAGUUUUUAUCGCCUUCCACCGCUUCUCCCCGCAUCAUAGACCAUUAUCGUCGGCCGUUCAAUGCCACGGCGGUGAAGAAGGUUAAUAGUUGGGAAGACGGAUAUGGAUGAGUUUGGUAUGGGAAGCCCAACUGAAGCUUUCGUCCUUUCAGGGACUUGACACGUGUAGCGGGAAGUUUCAUCAGGAGGAUCAGCAGCAGCUGUUGCAGAAAUAUAAUGUAUAGUGUCUCAUGGUAGUGAUACUGGUGGGAGUGUGAGACAGCUAGCUUCGCUUUGUGGUGUUGUGGUCUUAAGCCAACUUACGGUCGUGUCUCUAAGUUUGGACUAAUGGCCUAUGCAUCUUCAUUGGUUGCUUUGGCUCUACGUUUGCUGAUGUUGGGAUGCUUCUUCAUGCUCUCUCCGGGUAUGAGAGGUUUGAAUCCACGAGUAGCAAACAGUUUGAAGGGAGUGAAAGUUGGUCCAUCCGCGAGACGCUUGAAGAUGGUGUUAAUUUUGGAGUGAGAUUUGCCAACUUAGAAGCAUUGGGAUGUGUACUGACAGAGGUCUUCUUUCCGUCAUUCUCUUGUGGACUACCAGCCUAAUAUGUGGUGCAUGAUGAGUAUAUCAAUGUGGACACAGUUUUGGUGUAGAGGCAGAAGUGAGGAUGGUGCAGCUGAAAAGAGUUCUUAGUGAGCAUCUUCGCUAAAUAAUCUGAUGAUCUGAUCUCAUUUUGCUGGCUUUUGACUGAUGUCAUAAUUUUCCCGUUCUUUUCUUCUUCCAACACUCUUAUUAUUAUGCGAACGAUCCCAACCCAAGGAUGUUGCAGCCUCUAUGUCUUCCCUCGAGAACCUUAUUACGGUAAUCAUUACUUUAUGUUAGGAACAAAGUUUCUAAAGAACAUGAACACACGGUGAUUUGGUUACUGUUAUUAUCCAAGCGUAGCUUACUGAGAAUAACAAAUUUCAUGUAAGGCUCCAAAGUCAAAAUAGUCCAUGUCAUCUGAAACAAAAAGAAAGAUGGAAGAUGUUACUUCUAAUGCGUUAGUUCUUUUGUUUUCUAA
Brassica napus (rape) is the source of this 5065-nucleotide RNA transcript. It is a transcript of the gene named B3 domain-containing protein REM7-like, with no coding region annotated. The transcript is spliced from 10 exons. NCBI's taxonomy places the organism in Eukaryota, Viridiplantae, Streptophyta, Magnoliopsida, Brassicales, Brassicaceae. The record is from RefSeq and is a predicted model, not a curated record.